AAUGACAGGCGGCAGGCGGUGACCGCCGCUGGGCCUGCGGAGACCGUCCGCCUGGCUCGCCGGAGCUCCCCCGCUGUCCGCCAGCCCGCGGGAGGGAGGAGGGAAGCGAAGCGUUUCCGCGGUUGGCUACUCAGUGUCUUGGUCUCAAGUUGCCUCAUUGCGGCUGGCGUUCCCAAUACAGACGCAUCGUUUCUUUUUUAAUACUUCCUAAGAAACGGAAUAACCUUCAAGCUGGCGGGAGCAAUGGUUCACAUACAGAAAGGCGAGCUGACCCAGGAGGAGAAGGAGCUACUGGAAGUCAUCGGGAAAGGCGUGCCCCACUUCCGCAGUGCUGAGUCCCAGCGGGGAGCCCCGAGGACGAGCCAGAAGCCACAUUUCCCCGGAGUCCCCGAGUGGACGUCCCAGAGGAGUUCCCUGCCGAGUCCCGUUACCUGGCAGGUACUGUCCAAGAAGCUGGAACAUUAUUAUCCAGCAAGAAUGUUCGUGUCAACUGUUUGGAUGAGAAUGGAAUGACUCCUCUAAUGCAUGCAGCAUAUAAAGGAAAACUCGAUAUGUGCAAAUUACUACUGCGACAUGGAGCCGAUGUAAAUU
This 591-nucleotide small RNA is filed under the name Pan troglodytes (chimpanzee). RNAcentral describes it as "processed transcript". The record is from RNAcentral. Lineage: Eukaryota; Metazoa; Chordata; Mammalia; Primates; Hominidae.